UAUUCUUAUUUGUGGGUCCUUUUCGUUGCGGCAUGUGGGACGCUGCCUCAGCGUGGUUUGAUAAGCAGUGCCAUGUCCGCGCCAGGAUUCGAACCAACGAAACGCUGGGCCGCCUGCAGCGGAGCGCGCGAACUUAACCACUCGGCCACGGGGCCAGCCCCGUGUGGAAAAUUUUUGAUCAUGAUUAAUUGAAUAGCAAUAUGUAUGAUCAAGUCAGGCACAAGGAUGGAAGGCUAGUUAGACGUCUUUUAUAACAGCUUAAGGGAAAGGAAAGGGAGGAAACUAGGGCAAUUGCAGUUGGAGUGGGGUGAAGAGGAUGGACCUAAGAGCUGUUCUGCAGAUAAGGAAAAUGAGACCCAGAGAGGCUGGAGAUCAUGGCCUUGCUCUUCCGUGCCAAGUUGCUGGACUCAUCUCCUCAGAGUGCUUCCUUUGAACUUCUUUAAUGCCACUUGACCAGACUUCACGUUGGGCUAUACUCAUGAGAUUUCCCUCCAGAAAUAGCCAAGGAAGAUUAGCCCUGAGCUAACACCUGCUGCCAAUCCUCCUCUUUUCGCUGAGGAAGACUGGCCCUGAGCUAACAUCCGUGCCCAUCUUCCUCUACUUUAUAUGUGGGAUGCCUACCAUAGCAUGGCUUGCCAAGCGAUGCCAUGUCCGCACCUGGGACCCGAACCAGUGAACCCUGGGCCGCCAAAGCAGAAUGUGCAAACUUAACCACUGCGCCAUCAGGCCGGCCCAUCUUUUUUUUUUUUUUAAAGAUUGGCACCUGAGCUAACAUCUGUCGCCAAUCUUUCUUUUUUUUUUUUCCCUUCUUCUCCCCAAAGCCCCCCUCCACCCUGAAUAGUUGAAUAUUCACUAGUUGUAUAUUCAAUAGUUGUAUGUUCUAGUUGUGAGUGCCUCUGGUUGUGGUAUGUGGGACACUGCCUCAGCAUGGCCUGAUGAGCAGUGCUAUGUCUGUGCCCAGGAUCCGAACCCACGAAACUCUGGGUCGCCAAAGUGGAGCAUGUGAACUUAACCACUAGGCCACGGAGCUGACCCUCAUUUAUUUAUUCUUUAUUUAAUAAGGCUAUUGCCUAUUCUAAAGCUUUUGUUCUUCAUGAUGGGCUUUACUUUAACACUAUCAGUUUCACAUAUCUCUAUGUUGGGCUUUUUCUUGGAAUUAAGUUACAUUUGUAGCAGAACUAAUAUAGUUCACAAGCAUUUAGUCAGAAAUGACACUAUUAAGAGACAUAAUGUAUCUCUCCAUUUAUUUUGGUUUUAAAAUAUAUUUCAGAAUAUUUAAUGUUUUUUCAUAUGAGCCUUAUAAAAUUUUUUGUUAACUUUUU
Molecule: long non-coding RNA, 1322 nt
Filed under: Equus caballus (horse)
Lineage: Eukaryota; Metazoa; Chordata; Mammalia; Perissodactyla; Equidae
Description: lncRNA (ENSECAG00000047299.1)
Source: RNAcentral